CCCUUAGAUGUUCUGGGCCGCACACGCGCUACACUGAAGGAGGCAGCGUGUACUCCUGGAUCGAAAGAUUUGGGUAACCCGCGAAUCUCCUUCGUGCUAGGGAUUGAGGUUUGCAAUUAUCCUUCAUGAACGAGGAAUUCCCAGUAAGUGCAAGUCAUAAGCUUGCGCUGACUACGUCCCUGCCCUUUGUACACACCGCCCGUCGCUACUACCGAUUGAAUGGUCCGGUGAAAAUUUCGGAUAGUGGCGAUGCUGGCGGUUCGCCGCCGGCGCUGCCGCUAGAAGAUCUUUAAACCUUAUCAUUUAGAGGAAGGAGAAGUCGUAACA
RNAcentral lists this ribosomal RNA (327 nucleotides) under uncultured eukaryote. RNAcentral's name for it is "partial 18S ribosomal RNA". It matches the Rfam family "Eukaryotic small subunit ribosomal RNA", at positions 1470 to 1796 of the family's 1831-position model. The record is from RNAcentral.